This 254-nucleotide ribosomal RNA is filed under the name uncultured bacterium. RNAcentral's name for it is "partial 16S ribosomal RNA". It matches the Rfam family "Bacterial small subunit ribosomal RNA", at positions 524 to 776 of the family's 1533-position model. The record is from RNAcentral.
CACGUAGGGGGCGAGCGUUGUCCGGAAUCAUUGGGCGUAAAGAGCUCGUAGGCGGCUCGGUAAGUCGGGUGUGAAACCCCCAGGCUCAACCUGGGGACGCCACCCGAUACUGCUGUGGCUAGAGUCCAGUAGGGGAGUGUGGAAUUCCCGGUGUAGCGGUGAAAUGCGCAGAUAUCGGGAGGAACACCAGCGGCGAAGGCGGCACUCUGGGCUGGAACUGACGCUGAGGAGCGAAAGCGUGGGUAGCAAAAGGG